This 450-nucleotide ribosomal RNA is filed under the name uncultured bacterium. Its description in RNAcentral is "partial 16S ribosomal RNA". It matches the Rfam family "Bacterial small subunit ribosomal RNA", at positions 354 to 796 of the family's 1533-position model. The record is from RNAcentral.
GUGGGGAAUUUUGGACAAUGGGCGCAAGCCUGAUCCAGCAAUGCCGCGUGCAGGAAGAAGGCCUUCGGGUUGUAAACUGCUUUUGUACGGAACGAAAAGGCUCUGGUUAAUACCUGGGGCUCAUGACGGUACCGUAAGAAUAAGCACCGGCUAACUACGUGCCAGCAGCCGCGGUAAUACGUAGGGUGCAAGCGUUAAUCGGAAUUACUGGGCGUAAAGCGUGCGCAGGCGGUUUUGUAAGACAGAGGUGAAAUCCCCGGGCUCAACCUGGGAAUUGCCUUUGUGACUGCAAGGCUGGAGUGCGGCAGAGGGGGAUGGAAUUCCGCGUGUAGCAGUGAAAUGCGUAGAUAUGCGGAGGAACACCGAUGGCGAAGGCAAUCCCCUGGGCCUGCACUGACGCUCAUGCACGAAAGCGUGGGGAGCAAACAGGAUUAGAUACCCGUGUAGUCC